RNAcentral lists this long non-coding RNA (1128 nucleotides) under Gallus gallus (chicken). Its description in RNAcentral is "long non-coding RNA NONGGAT006867". Lineage: Eukaryota; Metazoa; Chordata; Aves; Galliformes; Phasianidae. The record is from RNAcentral.
AAACAAAGUCCACAAAAAGCACUGGUAUCUCAUCACUACAGAAAAUUACACUUGUUACAGAAAGCGCACAUUGAAGAUCUCUGCUGAGGAAGAUGCUAUUCAGUGAGGAAUGGUAAGUAAACUUUAUACCAACACCGGAGCCUAGAGAACAGGCAAAGCUUGCUGCGAGCCCCUUCCUUAUGGAGCACGGAGAGAAAAAAGUGCCAGCAGAGCACGUCUCAAUAGCAGCCGCUCAGUCUGGCAGGUAGGAGGGCUGACUGCGGGCAGCGGUGGGACAGGGCGGGCAUUGGGCUCAGAAGCACCGAGCCAGGAGCGGCUGCACCACCACAACCUACCGGCUACGAGACAGGUGCGUUCAUUUUUCUCCCUAACUCGUUAACUACCCGGUGUAGCCGUAGCCCCCACGGCGGAUAGCGGCCCUUUGGCUGCGGCCCCCCCGGCGAAAUGGCGGACCCGUCCCGCGUGGACGACGGGGGAGGAGAGGGGGUCGCCAACGGCGCGUCCCCCCGUGUCGCACCUGAAAAGCAGCGGCGCGGAGCCCCCAUCCCGAGCGGAGCGCGGCGGCCGCGGCCCUGCAGGCUAUGGUGCCGACGCCGCCGGCCCCGCCAUGGCAACGGGGGCGGGCGGUGCCGAGGGUGGUAGCGAGCGGUGAGCGGCUGCCGAGACGGCGACUAAGCACGAGUUAGACCUUACGAGCUCCGGAAGAUGCGAGAACUCAGCGCAGCUGAAGGUUUUCAACAAUAACUUUCGUUCAGGACCUCUUCAGACAUCCUUCAGGCCUAUCGAGUAAUAGAAAACAGAAAGCAUAUUAAAAUGGAAGAAGGAAACAGACAGAAAUGGAGAAGAGAGCCUUUCCCAGAAAGGGAAACUUGCAAUACUGCAUCCAACAGAGGUGAGAAGAGAGAUACAAGACGAGGUGAAGAGAAGGCCCUGGAGCUGUAUGGCUUAGAGCUGACAUUUCCCAUAUUGCACUGAGAGCUCAGAUGAAGGAGUGGCAGAUGUUGGCAGAAGAAAUUCCACUGGAGAAAAACAUUCCAGCAGGCAGACAGACUUGGAGAUGAAGAGAGGAUUUCUGUUUAAGAGUCCCUAUACAUCACUUCAACAACAGGAAGCAAAACUCAGAUCCAA